RNAcentral lists this ribosomal RNA (336 nucleotides) under uncultured bacterium. RNAcentral describes it as "bacterial SSU rRNA". It matches the Rfam family "Bacterial small subunit ribosomal RNA", at positions 1 to 334 of the family's 1533-position model. The record is from RNAcentral.
GUGAGUAGUUCAGAGUUUGAUCCUGGCUCAGGAUUAACGCUGGCGGCGUGCAUAACACAUUCAAGUCGAACGGUGACGGGGCUUCGGCCCCUGAUCAGUGGCGGACGGGUGAGUAACGCGUGAGCAAUCUACCUUCCAGUACGGAAUAACAACCGGAAACAGUUGCUAAUACCGUAUGAAAUAGCAGCUUCGCAUGGAGCAACUAUCAAAGAUUUAUUGCUGGAAGAUGAGCUUGCGUCCGAUUAGAUAGUUGGCGGGGUAACGGCCCACCAAGUCGACGAUCGGUAGCCGGACUGAGAGGUUGAACGGCCACAUUGGAACUGAGAUACGGUCCAG